CUGAAGUCUUCGUGGGUGUAGGUUUCUUCGUUAUGCUGACGACAGGCAGUGCCCGAACUCUAGGCUGGGAGUUGUGCCAUGCUGCUGCUUUCGUGGGCUGACCAGAAAAGGGUAGAAGGAUUGACGUUUACGAAGUUUUUGAAUCAGGAGGCAAGGUCGCCUUGUGCCCCCAAAAGGAUAGAAAAAGGCCUGGCAAACUGGAGAAUCGCGUCCUUACGGUGCCUACAUAUUUAUAGUACGAAUUAAACUGCUCAAGGGGUGC
Long non-coding RNA from Homo sapiens (human), 262 nucleotides. The record is from Ensembl. NCBI's taxonomy places the organism in Eukaryota, Metazoa, Chordata, Mammalia, Primates, Hominidae.